AUUUUAGAAUACUUACAAAUAUCUUUCCCAGCUGGCUAAGAAGAAAUCUAAGAGAUCUGAAAGAAAUGCUGGAGCAGCAAUGUAUUUGAAAAUAUACCAACAGUUUGAGAAUUCAUAAAGUGUAAAAUGAUUGUAGUAACGGCCAAGAUGAAGCAUAACUUAUAGCUUGUAAUGGUAAUACCUAAAACUCUGGAGAAAAUAUGAAGAGAAACUGGGAAAACUCUCAAACAGUAACAGACAGAUUGAGGAUGGAAGUCAAAAUGGGAAAAGAAUCCAGGAUAGUGGUGCUGACUGGUGUUGGCAAUUGUUUCUGACAGAAGAUGAGCCACUUUUCCUAUUAUUCAACUUUUUCAGUUAACUGAUCUACUACCAACCUCACCUGCACGUGAUAGAAGGCUUUUUGCUGUGCUGGCUACAGACUACAAUUCUAAAGACACAGGGUAUGGCAUAAAGGUGUUGCAUGCUAACUGCUUAGGUAGUACUUUGCUGCUUUGAAACAGGAAAAAAUGUUUUUGCUUCUCAGUUUAAAAAAGGAAAUAGAAGGUAAUCAUUCAAAGUACAAAAAGACAACUCACGGGAACCAAAACUAACCUCACACGUGCACAUUUGUCAACUACCCUGUAGAAACUAAUAUAUUUAACUUGUCACAUAGUACCACUCAACUUCUGGGAAAUCACCAAAUGUGUUAUUUAAACUCAGUCUAUGCUUAAGGGAAUACUUUAUUUAAAAGAGCCAUUUUUAUUGGGAAAUAUAAGAAGUUAGAACUUCAUAGCCCUAAGGUCCUAUUCUA
Molecule: long non-coding RNA, 790 nt
Filed under: Capra hircus (goat)
Lineage: Eukaryota; Metazoa; Chordata; Mammalia; Artiodactyla; Bovidae
Description: lncRNA (ENSCHIG00000005704.1)
Source: RNAcentral